AUGGAAACUCCAGCUUCAUUUCUUUGCCUCCUUUUACUGUGGACCACGGUCUCAGCUGUCACUGGAGAAACAACACAGGCUCCAGCUUCUCUGAGUUUUUCUCUUGGUGAAACAGCAACACUGUCAUGCAGGUCCAGUGAGAGUGUUGGCAGCUACUUAGCCUGGUACCAGCAGAAAGCAGAGCAAGUUCCCCGGCUCCUUAUCCAUAGUGCCUCCACUAGGGCCGGUGGUGUCCCAGUCCGGUUCAGUGGCACUGGGUCUGGGACAGACUUCACUCUCACCAUCAGCAGUCUAGAACCUGAAGAUGCUGCAGUUUACUACUGUCAACCUUUCAAAAGUUGGUCAUA
This is a non-coding RNA of Mus musculus (house mouse), 347 nucleotides long. Lineage: Eukaryota; Metazoa; Chordata; Mammalia; Rodentia; Muridae. The record is from the annotation of a RefSeq genome assembly.